AGCGUUUGCGAGGUGCCAGUGCUUUCCUCUCAUUGGGGCGAAGGAGCGAGGACAGGACCGAACAGCAGCAAACUUUUAAACUGUGAGCACAGGCCCGUCCACGGCCCGAGCUCGCCUUUCGUUUGGCUUCACCUUCUACGGAGUCCAGUCAGUUGGCCGCCUACUUCACUUUUCUUAAGAGAAAGAAGGAUGCCCGGGCCAC
This 202-nucleotide non-coding RNA is filed under the name Myotis davidii. Its description in RNAcentral is "Connexin-43 internal ribosome entry site (IRES)". It matches the Rfam family "Connexin-43 internal ribosome entry site (IRES)". From Rfam's summary of the family: This family represents the connexin-43 internal ribosome entry site (IRES) which allows cap independent translation during conditions such as heat shock and stress. Lineage: Eukaryota; Metazoa; Chordata; Mammalia; Chiroptera; Vespertilionidae. The record is from Rfam by way of RNAcentral.